RNAcentral lists this transfer RNA (97 nucleotides) under Roseofilum sp. Belize BBD 4. Its description in RNAcentral is "tRNA-OTHER". It matches the Rfam family "tRNA". From Rfam's summary of the family: Transfer RNA (tRNA) molecules are approximately 80 nucleotides in length. RNAcentral also lists the same sequence under 1 other name. Lineage: Bacteria; Bacillati; Cyanobacteriota; Cyanophyceae; Desertifilales; Desertifilaceae. The record is from RNAcentral.
CUCCUGGUAGCUCAGUUGGUAGAGCGCCUGUCUGUUGGCGCAGCCUGCCCGCAGGGCUUAGAACAGGAGGUCGCCAGUUCGAUUCUGGCUUGGGGGG